Molecule: ribosomal RNA, 253 nt
Filed under: uncultured bacterium
Lineage: Bacteria
Description: partial 16S ribosomal RNA
Rfam family: Bacterial small subunit ribosomal RNA
Source: RNAcentral
UACGUAGGGCGCAAGCGUUAUCCGGAAUUAUUGGGCGUAAAGAGCUCGUAGGCGGUUUGUCGCGUCUGCUGUGAAAGUCCGGGGCUCAACCCCGGGAGGCGGGCGGAUACUGUCGGGCUAGAGUCCGGAAGAGGCGAGUGGAAUUCCUGGUGUAGCGGUGAAAUGCGCAGAUAUCAGGAGGAACACCAAUGGCGAAGGCAGCUCGCUGGGACGGUACUGACGCUGAGGCGCGAAAGCGUGGGGAGCAAACAGG